AAGAAAGAAGACAGGAAACAGAUCACGCUGAGUUUUUACUGCAAGAAACCUAUGAAAAGUACCCAUUACUAAUAGCACUCAGCAAAGGUGAUCUACCCCAACCAGACAAAGCUGUGUGCCAUUUCCAAGAUGUUGCUGGCACUCGAACUUUCACUCAAGGUGUCUUACAUACCUUCUCCUCACUCUCAUUCAGAAUGUGCUUCCACAUUCUAUGCGCUCAGACUUCAAAAUCUCACCAACUUCAACAUCCAGGAGAAUAGAAGAGAUGGAAAUAAAGGAGGCAAGAAUGGUUUACAGAUCCAGCUGAAACCGAAUGGAAGGAAAGGCAGUGGAUUUCAUCAAGAUCCUACAGACAAGGUGUAAGAUCUGUAAUUUCGAAAGGACAUAUACACAAACUCAUUCAGCCACAUUCCAGUCUAGAAUUAACAUGAAGAAAAUCUAUUAACAAUGGUAAAGCUUUUUUCCUCUCCAAAUGAAUAUGGCAAUACCCAUUCUGGAGAACUCUUAUUCUCUGUUGAAAUAACACCACUUUUCUAUAUGGCCAUCUAGCAAUAAAUAUAAAAAUGGUUAAUUUGCA
RNAcentral lists this long non-coding RNA (577 nucleotides) under Homo sapiens (human). RNAcentral's name for it is "HSALNT0389354". The record is from RNAcentral. Lineage: Eukaryota; Metazoa; Chordata; Mammalia; Primates; Hominidae.